This 966-nucleotide ribosomal RNA is filed under the name Staphylococcus sp. C2I31. RNAcentral's name for it is "bacterial SSU rRNA". It matches the Rfam family "Bacterial small subunit ribosomal RNA", at positions 97 to 1046 of the family's 1533-position model. Lineage: Bacteria; Bacillati; Bacillota; Bacilli; Caryophanales; Staphylococcaceae. The record is from RNAcentral.
GGCGGACGGGUGAGUAACACGUGGAUAACCUACCUAUAAGACUGGGAUAACUUCGGGAAACCGGAGCUAAUACCGGAUAACAUAUUGAACCGCAUGGUUCAAUAGUGAAAGGCGGCUUUGCUGUCACUUAUAAAUGGAUCCGCGCCGUAUUAGCUAGUUGGUAAGGUAACGGCUUACCAGGGCAACAAUACGUACCCAACCUGAGAGGGUGAUCGGCCACACUGGAACUGAAACACGGUCCAAACUCCUACGGGAGGCAGCAGUAGGGAAUCUUCCGCAAUGGGCGAAAGCCUGACGGAGCAACGCCGCGUGAGUGAUGAAGGUCUUCGGAUCGUAAAACUCUGUUAUCAGGGAAGAACAAAUGUGUAAGUAACUGUGCACAUCUUGACGGUACCUGAUCAGAAAGCCACGGCUAACUACGUGCCAGCAGCCGCGGUAAUACGUAGGUGGCAAGCGUUAUCCGGAAUUAUUGGGCGUAAAGCGCGCGUAGGCGGUUUUUUAAGUCUGAUGUGAAAGCCCACGGCUCAACCGUGGAGGGUCAUUGGAAACUGGAAAACUUGAGUGCAGAAGAGGAAAGUGGAAUUCCAUGUGUAGCGGUGAAAUGCGCAGAGAUAUGGAGGAACACCAGUGGCGAAGGCGACUUUCUGGUCUGUAACUGACGCUGAUGUGCGAGAGCGUGGGGAUCAAACAGGAUUAGAUACCCUGGUAGUCCACGCCGUACACGAUGAGUGCUAGGUGUUAGGGGGUUCCGCCCCUUAGUGCUGCAGCUAACGCAUUAAGCACUCCUCCCUGGGGAGUACGACCGCAAGGUUGAAACUCAAAAGGAAUUGACGGGGACCCGCACACGCGGUGGAGCAUGUGGUUUAAUUCGAAGCAACGCGAAGAACCCUACCAAAUCUUGACAUCCUUUGACCGCUCUAGAGAAAGAGUGUUUCCCCUUUGGGGACAAAAAGACAGGUGGUGCAU